GAUGAACGCUGGCGGCGUGCCUAAUACAUGCAAGUCGAGCGAACAGACGAGGAGCUUGCUCCUCUGACGUUAGCGGCGGACGGGUGAGUAACACGUGGAUAACCUACCUAUAAGACUGGGAUAACUUCGGGAAACCGGAGCUAAUACCGGAUAAUAUAUUGAACCGCAUGGUUCAAUAGUGAAAGACGGUUUUGCUGUCACUUAUAGAUGGAUCCGCGCCGCAUUAGCUAGUUGUUAAGGUAACGGCUUACCAAGGCAACGAUGCGUAGCCGACCUGAGAGGGUGAUAGGCCACACUGGAGCUGAGACACGGUCCAGACUCCUACGGGAGGCAGCAGUAGGGAAUCUUCCGCAAUGGGCGAAAGCCUGACGGAGCAACGCCGCGUGAGUGAUGAAGGUCUUCGGAUCGUAAAACUCUGUUAUUAGGGAAGAACAAAUGUGUAAGUAACUAUGCACGUCUUGACGGUACCUAAUCAGAAAGCCACGGCUAACUACGUG
Molecule: ribosomal RNA, 497 nt
Filed under: uncultured bacterium
Lineage: Bacteria
Description: partial 16S ribosomal RNA
Rfam family: Bacterial small subunit ribosomal RNA
Source: RNAcentral